UUCAGCUAGAGCUGAAGCAUCAGCUGCAACAAGAGACCAGAACCACUAAAUGAAACCUUUGCUUUGCUGAGAUAACCAGUGCUAGUCAUCUAGAGCUGAGAAAUUAGCAGUGAUUAAGAUGGGACUAGCAUUGUUGAGGUAAAAUCUUCUUGGAAAUAUUUCCUCAGAGUUAGAACAUAGAAAGUGUGUUCCAGAGAUGGCCAAGGCUGUACCUUGUGCUGGCAGCCAAAGUUGGUAGUAUAAGAGGCACCCAGGUGAUACUGGUUUUGAAGAUAUGAAGAAGUCAUAGAGUGCAGUUGAGGCUUGUCACUGAGUGACAGGUCUAUAGUCCUUGAAGAAAGCCCAGGAGAGGUUAUUGGUAAAAAUUCAGCCUACUUGCAGCCAGGGCUACAGCACACUGGGGAUGCCAGUACCAGGGAAUGACCACUAAGAGCAGCAGGACCCAUAGAGUGGAGCCUGACUGAGCUUAGAAGACAAGCUGUAUUUACUACAGAGAGCAGAGCUGGAGAAGUGACCCAAGCCUUUUGGAAGAUCUCAGAAGAUGGGUCCCGCCAUGACGUCCUUCAAGAAUGCAUUUUAAUCUGCAAGGAUUCCUAACCCUGUGAAAGAAGAAUGUGGAUUUAAGAGGAGUAGUGGAGAAAACAUGGAAGCAUGGCCCAAUAAGACAACUAAGGGAGAUCAAGGGGAUACAAACCAGAAAAGAAACAGUCAAAGUUUUGCUAUUUGCAGAUGAUGUAAUAGUAUAUAUAUUUGAUCCUAAAUUUCUACCAAAGAAUUCCUACAGAUGAUCAAUACUCUUAGCAAAGUGACUGGAUACAAAGUUAUUUCAAAAAUUUUAGUAGACCUCCUUUAUACAAACAAUAGUCAUGAUGAAAAAAUUAAGGAAAUGGCACUUUUCAUAAUAGCCACAAAUAAUAUAAAAUAUCAUGGUGCAACUCUAGCCAAGUAAGUGAAA
Molecule: long non-coding RNA, 955 nt
Organism: Mastomys coucha (southern multimammate mouse)
Lineage: Eukaryota; Metazoa; Chordata; Mammalia; Rodentia; Muridae
Exons: 3
Source: RefSeq, a predicted model, not a curated record